ACCGCAUAAACGUCUUCGGACCAAAGUGGGGGACCUUCGGGCCUCACGCCAUCGGAUGUGCCCAGAUGGGAUUAGCUAGUAGGUGGGGUAAUGGCUCACCUAGGCGACGAUCCCUAGCUGGUCUGAGAGGAUGACCAGCCACACUGGAACUGAGACACGGUCCAGACUCCUACGGGAGGCAGCAGUGGGGAAUAUUGCACAAUGGGCGCAAGCCUGAUGCAGCCAUGCCGCGUGUGUGAAGAAGGCCUUCGGGUUGUAAAGCACUUUCAGCGAGGAGGAAGGCAUAAAGGUUAAUAACCUUUGUGAUUGACGUUACUCGCAGAAGAAG
This 328-nucleotide ribosomal RNA is filed under the name Yersinia enterocolitica. RNAcentral describes it as "bacterial SSU rRNA". It matches the Rfam family "Bacterial small subunit ribosomal RNA", at positions 168 to 490 of the family's 1533-position model. The record is from RNAcentral. Lineage: Bacteria; Pseudomonadati; Pseudomonadota; Gammaproteobacteria; Enterobacterales; Yersiniaceae.